RNAcentral lists this transfer RNA (80 nucleotides) under Capnocytophaga gingivalis ATCC 33624. RNAcentral describes it as "tRNA-Pro". It matches the Rfam family "tRNA". From Rfam's summary of the family: Transfer RNA (tRNA) molecules are approximately 80 nucleotides in length. Their secondary structure includes four short double-helical elements and three loops (D, anti-codon, and T loops). Further hydrogen bonds mediate the characteristic L-shaped molecular structure. tRNAs have two regions of fundamental functional importance: the anti-codon, which is responsible for specific mRNA codon recognition, and the 3' end, to which the tRNAs corresponding amino acid is attached (by aminoacyl-tRNA synthetases). tRNAs cope with the degeneracy of the genetic code in two manners: having more than one tRNA (with a specific anti-codon) for a particular amino acid; and 'wobble' base-pairing, i.e. permitting non-standard base-pairing at the 3rd anti-codon position. Lineage: Bacteria; Pseudomonadati; Bacteroidota; Flavobacteriia; Flavobacteriales; Flavobacteriaceae. The record is from RNAcentral.
UCGGGGUGUAGCGUAGUCCGGUUAUCGCGCCUGGUUUGGGACCAGGAGGUCGUAGGUUCGAAUCCUGCCACCCCGACUUU